This 294-nucleotide transfer-messenger RNA is filed under the name Bradyrhizobium sp. RNAcentral's name for it is "partial transfer-messenger RNA". It matches the Rfam family "Alphaproteobacteria transfer-messenger RNA", at positions 1 to 282 of the family's 355-position model. From Rfam's summary of the family: Bacterial tmRNA, also known as 10Sa RNA or SsrA, is named for its dual tRNA and mRNA-like properties. Its role is to liberate the mRNA from a stalled ribosome. Lineage: Bacteria; Pseudomonadati; Pseudomonadota; Alphaproteobacteria; Hyphomicrobiales; Nitrobacteraceae. The record is from RNAcentral.
GGUCUGUGCAUCCACCGCCGAGCGGCCUAUAUAGGGGGUGCCGGCUUGCCGGCUAUGGAAAUAAAUCGCCGUCGAAAUAAACCAUUCGGACCCGGGGGCGGUACCCGGCGCCUCCACCAAAGUCCGCCUUGGAGACAUCUCGGAUGUCGGGCUUCGGCGGGGGCGAAAUAGGAUCGACGAGGGCGUAAAGGGCGAGCUUUUUCCCGGUAUUGUUCCGCCGUUAUCGGGCUACUGCAAUAGUUGCCAACGACAACUUUGCUCCGGUUGCUCAGGCUGCGUAACGCAGUUUGAAAG